UUAACGGUGAAUUACUUUCUUUUUUGGCUAAAGAAAGGAAAGACGCCUUCAUCGUCUUGCCAUUUAGGGAGGAGCCGUACUUCUUGCUAGUCUACCAGAGAAACCAUUCAACAAGCUCUGGAAGAAUACAAAAUGAUUCUAAGGCAGAUAGGCUACACGUUCAGGCCC
Long non-coding RNA from Rhodamnia argentea, 168 nucleotides. RefSeq lists it as uncharacterized. Lineage: Eukaryota; Viridiplantae; Streptophyta; Magnoliopsida; Myrtales; Myrtaceae. The record is from RefSeq and is a predicted model, not a curated record. The transcript is spliced from 2 exons.